UUUUUAUUGCUGGUGAGGCUUAAUUAAAAAAACAAAACAAGCAAACAAACACCAAAACACCAAAACCAGGGAAAUUCAGUCUACCUGCCCAAAGGUGAGAUUUCUAGUAGGGUUAAAGCCCUAGAUAGUGUUUGUUUAAGUAUCUGUAGCUUAAUAGCUUUCAACAGUAGUCUGUAGCUGAGGAUCUUGAUUGUUCUUGAUUAUGAAGGAAGGCAUAAAGAAUAAUUAUGGGAGGGCAUUUUGAUUUCUGCUACUGCAGUCAUACGUGAAAUGCAUGCCAACACAGAGCAGAGCACCAUGAUCUGACAGAGAGGAGCAUCUGUAUGGAAACUAACUUGAAUUUUCAAAGGGCUCCAGUGUUGAAUCUCAAAUCUUUUCGGCAUCUUUGAAAAUUCACUGAAAAAAUUCAUUACAGGGCAGCUUAGGCUGGGAAGAGGAAACGGAGCAUAUCUUCUGCUGAAGCAUCACGCUGUGAUGAAUGGCCGGUGGGUCUGGUGAGCCAGUUGUCCAUUCCAGUCCUGUCUUUGUGUCUGUAAAUGAGCCAGUGUAUAUUUGAAAGAAUGGGAAGUCGUCUGGAAACUUGAUCCAACUGAUCCAACAAAUAGCUCAUGGGAAGAGCACAGGUC
Empidonax traillii (willow flycatcher) is the source of this 626-nucleotide long non-coding RNA. RefSeq lists it as uncharacterized. The record is from RefSeq and is a predicted model, not a curated record. Lineage: Eukaryota; Metazoa; Chordata; Aves; Passeriformes; Tyrannidae. The transcript has 3 exons.